Molecule: RNA transcript, 4415 nt
Organism: Oncorhynchus kisutch (coho salmon)
Lineage: Eukaryota; Metazoa; Chordata; Actinopteri; Salmoniformes; Salmonidae
Gene name: RNA-binding protein Musashi homolog 1
Exons: 15
Source: RefSeq, a predicted model, not a curated record
ACUCCACUCUGCCUGUUUUUCCACACGGUACAGUCUGAACACACGGGCACGGAAUGGAGAUGGAAAGGAGCCAGAGCAGCCUGUCAUCCACGGACUCCCCUCACGAUCCAUGCAAAAUGUUUAUAGGCGGUCUCAGCUGGCAGACGACACAAGAGGGAUUGAAAGAGUACUUUUGCAAGUAUGGCGAGGUGAAAGAGUGCAUGGUGAUGCGGGAUCCAGUUACAAAGCGCUCGAGGGGUUUUGGAUUUGUCACUUUUGUUGACCAGGCCGGUGUGGAUUCAGUUUCGGCAGUAACCAGGCAUGAGUUGGAUUCAAAAACAGAGUGUUGGACAUCAGGAGGGUUGGUGACUGGAGAUUGAUCCGAAAGUUGCGUUCCCGCGUAGAGCCCAGCCCAAGCUAGUGACUCGGACCAAGAAGAUUUUUGUUGGAGGUCUGUCCGUGAACACGACCAUCGAGGAUGUUAAGGCGUAUUUCGACCAGUUCGGAAAGGUUGACGAUGCCAUGCUCAUGUUUGACAAGACCACCAACAGACACAGAGGAUUUGGCUUUGUCACGUUUGAGAAUGAGGACGUGGUAGAUAAAGUGUGUGAGAUCCACUUCCAUGAGAUAAAUAACAAAAUGGUGGAGUGUAAGAAGGCUCAGCCCAAGGAAGUGAUGUCACCCAUGGGCUCGGCCAGGGGGCGCUCUCGGGUGAUGCCCUAUGGCAUGGACGCUUUCAUGCUGGGUAUCGGCAUGCUGGGCAGGGGGCAGCACUGUUUCACUCAAACACAGACCCAUGACUGUCCUUUCACCAUAGGUUACCCAGGGUUCCAGGCAGCUACAUAUGCUAGUCGAAGUUACACUGGCAUCACCCCUGGAUAUACCUAUCAAUUCCCUGAAUUCCAUUUAGAGAGGACCCCCCUUCUGACAUCAUCCCACCCCCCUGAGCUCACAGCCAUUCCUCUGUCGGCAUACGGACCAAUGGCAGCAGCGGCAGCAGCAGUAGCUAGAGGUAUGUCGGUGCUGUUUAAGAUGAGGGACGACGAUUUUUCUUCUAUUACAGCAUAUUGGAUGACUGUCAUUCAUAUUCCAUUCACCCAGUUCAAUGUAACAGUGAUAGGUUUAGGCCACUACAUGAUACUCAGAUUCUCCCUAUACCCAUCAUGAGGUUGCUACAACAUAGCCUACGAAUAAACAUUUACAAUGUAGGUGCACAGGUCCAAGAGACAAAUUUGAGUAAUCAAGGUGACAGACAGUGACACGUUCAAUACCGUCUCGCACAUCAAGCUCAGGGAUGGGCAACUGGCGGCAUGCGGACCAAUUAAAAACUAGAACUUACUGUUGAGAGUUAGAAUAAUAGAAUACACAAGGUGCAAUUUUUUCACUCAAUUAGAUCAUGUCAACUAAAAUGUUUUUGAUUGGUAAGUUAGUCUAGCGGCCAGCUAUCUAAACUUUUAGUAAGCAUGGUCGAUUACUGACCGGUAUGGGGCCCUUUGAUCAUCAGUUAUCAUAUUAAAAAUGGUACACAUUUGCCUCCACCCCCUGGCAAAAUGUGUAGAAUUGCAGCAAACUUGCUUUAAAAUGGCAACAUUUUCUCUACGUCCCAUGGCAAAAUGUGCAGAAUUGAACAAAAUUAACUUUAAAACUUUUUUCCCCCUCUUCGCUGUCACGAAGGGGGCCGCUAAAAUGUUCUAGAUUCAUUCUCUGAUCAUUUGAUUGGGUGGAUUACACGUCAGUUCAUGCUGCAAGAGCUCUGAUAGGUUGGAGGACGUCCUCCGGAAAUUACUGUGUAAGUCUAUGGAAGUGGGUGAGAACCAUGAGAUUUUGUAUUGAAGUCAAUGUACCAAGAGGAGGAUGGAAGCUAGCUGUCUUCCGGCUACACCAUGGUGCUACCCUACAGAGGGCUGUUGAUUCUACUGUAGACCUACUUUGUAAAACAGUGUGCUUUAAUUAAUUAUUUGGUGAUGUGAAUAUAUUUAGUACAGUUUAAUCAAAAAAGGAAUACUUUUUUUUAAUGUUUCACAAUUUUUCUGAAAUUCACUGAGGAGGAUGGUCCUCCCCUUCCUCCUCUGAGGAGCCUCCACUGGUAUGAGGGGUUGAAAGACUGAAAACCUCUGUCAUCUGUAUCUCUGCCAGGGUAUGACUGAAUGGAGAAAUUGUCUGGUUGUUGUACAGUAUUUCUUCUGUGACUGUCCACUUAUUUGCAUCUGUAUUUGAUAUAUUAGGCUCCACCCCCUCUCGUUCAGGAGGGUUCCUGGGAACCAGCAGCCCUGGGCCAAUGGCAGACUUGUAUGCAGCAGCCAAUCAGGAGUCUGCUGUCAGCAGCUACCUCAGCGCUGCAAGCCCCUCCCCAAGCACUGGGUUUGGCCAUAGUCUGGGGGGCCCUCUGAUUGCUACGGCUUUCACUAACGGCUAUCACUGAGAGACUCUGUGAUCUGAGAGAUGGAAGGAGUUGAAACUGCUUUGAGCUGAUCCGACUCUCUAUGGUUACUCCUCUCUGGCUGUGUGACCCUGCAGUUUGGACCCUGACCCUUGACCCCUGAUGUCCCCACCCCUCCUCCCGCUGAGGAUCUCUCUUCUUCAGACUUCCUGUGUUCUGUCUUAACAUCACCUCCUGUCUAACAUGUUACUGUAGUUAGCAGAAAGGAACAACAACCUUUAAAAUGUUUCUGCUUGUAUUAGAAAGACAUACAGAUAAUUCUAGCUACUUUCUUCUUUUGUUUUAUUUCACUUAAAUGUUUUGUGAAAAUUGUAAUGUAAUCUCAUAUGUCUUGAUUCUUUGUUUAGUUUUUGGGAUUUUUUUUGUCAGAAGGUGUUUUAUUGAGAGGCGGAGAGGGAAAAAGAGUGAUCUCCAGGUACGAAAUAUGUGAAGGACUGGAACAAUAAUUUCUAUUGAAUAAGUGUAUAUUUGUCUUUUAGUUCAUACUGAAUUUUAACAGAAAAUGUCUGAUUAAUGAAUUAAAAAAAAAAAAACGUAUUUCAAUGUUGAAAAUGUAUAUCUUGGUAGGUUUUGAACAAGCAUUUGUUAUACUAAUAAUGAUCAAAGUAACAAAAUUGAUAGUCAUGAGUCUAUUUCCAGUCAGAUUGAACCGUGUGAUGUCUGUUUUUGUAAAAUAUUGUAAAUAUAACUGUAUUUUGGAUUCUGCAAAAAAAUGAAGGGUGUUGGGAGGGCAGGGGAAAUGGUACGAUGGUAUUUGUUUUCAGCAGAUGGUUUUAUAGUUUCAUUGGAAACCCAGACUGGAAAUCCAGACUGUUCCAUAUCAUAGUAUAAUAGAUACGGGAGGUCAGUCAUCAUCACAGGUAUUGUCAGACACAAACUGUGUUUUUGUCAAGUCAGUUUUAUCAUUCUCUUUCCACUGGACAACAUUCAUGACACUAACAUGAAGUUAUGAUAUAGUUUUAUGGGAGGGUUUAUUACUGAUGUAUUGUUUGAUUCAUAUUAUUUAGUUGUCUUGGUUGUGAGCCUGACCCUGUCAGAGUGAAAGGGUUUUCUCCUAUACUGUGAAUUCACCCAGGAAUCCCUUUUAUCAGCACUGGGAGAGAGAAAGCUUGAGAUGUUACAUUAACGUGGGAGACGCGGGUGUUGGGAUACUCCUUUAAUAUGAGAAAAACUAGCUGUUUCUAUCCUCAUUACUUGGUACUGUUUUAUUUUAUUGUUUUAGAAUGAUCAUUUUUUUUAUAUGUAAUGGUUGUAAAGGAAAAUGAAGGACAAGGAUGCAGAAACAGUCGUAAAACAGUUUCACAAUGGUACGAUUUUACGACUCAAUUCUUCUGCAGAUUGUGUUGAUGUGUGUGAGUGCGCGUUUGUGUGUGUGUGUGCAUUGUAUGGCUAUAUGUGGUCACACUUAUUGGCAUCAUGUGUGAAAUGUAUUGUCAGGGAAUGGAUACAUAUGUGGUAAAUGUGAACGUAUUACUGCUAUUUUGGUUUGUUACUGAACUUCCUUGUCUCUUUCGGUGUGUGGAAGGGAUUUGUUCAUUUCUAAAUGAGGUGGUCCUGAGGCUCUUCCAUGAUGAGAUUGUAUGUAUUUCUCAACCCCUCCUCCACACCGACAGAGACACUACAUAUCUACUGGGCGACACAGACUGUAGCCAUGAAACUCAAAAGAAGCAAUAUACUUUUUUAAGAGAACUCAAAAUUGUUUUGUUCAGAAAUUUUACGUUGUUGCACUGGGAGGUCAAAAUAAAGUGUUUUAAUGUUAUGGUUAGUUUAAGAAAAAGAGGCACUGUCAAUUUCUAUCACCAAGUUGUAGAUUUGGAUAUUUUUCUAAGCCUGCUGGUUGCCACGGUGUUGCAGCCUUUGGAUUCUGUGUUUACUCUGAAAGGUAAUGUUCUUGUCAACACUGUAACCCUCUUUCAGUUAUUUUUCUUCCUGUUUUCUUUUUUUUCUUCAGAAAAAACACUUUUUAAAAUUCCUAAUAAAUUAUUUUAAAACAUUC